UUAAGCGACUAAGCGUACACGGUGGAUGCCCUGGCAGUCAGAGGCGAUGAAGGACGUGCUAAUCUGCGAUAAGCGUCGGUGAGGUGAUAUGAACCGUUAUAACCGGCGAUUUCCGAAUGGGGAAACCCAGUGUGUUUCGACACACUAUCAUUAACUGAAUCCAUAGGUUAAUGAGGCGAACCGGGGGAACUGAAACAUCUAAGUACCCCGAGGAAAAGAAAUCAACCGAGAUUCCCCCAGUAGCGGCGAGCGAACGGGGAGGAGCCCAGAGCCUGAAUCAGUGUGUGUGUUAGUGGAAGCGUCUGGAAAGGCGUGCGAUACAGGGUGACAGCCCCGUACACAAAAAUGCACAUAUUGUGAGCUCGAUGAGUAGGGCGGGACACGUGGUAUCCUGUCUGAAUAUGGGGGGACCAUCCUCCAAGGCUAAAUACUCCUGACUGACCGAUAGUGAACCAGUACCGUGAGGGAAAGGCGAAAAGAACCCCGGCGAGGGGAGUGAAAAAGAACCUGAAACCGUGUACGUACAAGCAGUGGGAGCCUCUUAAUGGGGUGACUGCGUACCUUUUGUAUAAUGGGUCAGCGACUUAUAUUCUGUAGCAAGGUUAACCGAAUAGGGGAGCCGAAGGGAAACCGAGUCUUAACUGGGCGUUAAGUUGCAGGGUAUAGACCCGAAACCCGGUGAUCUAGCCAUGGGCAGGUUGAAGGUUGGGUAACACUAACUGGAGGACCGAACCGACUAAUGUUGAAAAAUUAGCGGAUGACUUGUGGCUGGGGGGGAAAGGCCAAUCAAACCGGGAGAUAGCUGGUUCUCCCCGAAAGCUAUUUAGGUAGCGCCUCGUGAAUUCAUCUCCGGGGGUAGAGCACUGUUUCGGCAAGGGGGUCAUCCCGACUUACCAACCCGAUGCAAACUGCGAAUACCGGAGAAUGUUAUCACGGGAGACACACGGCGGGUGCUAACGUCCGUCGUGAAGAGGGAAACAACCCAGACCGCCAGCUAAGGUCCCAAAGUCAUGGUUAAGUGGGAAACGAUGUGGGAAGGCCCAGACAGCCAGGAUGUUGGCUUAGAAGCAGCCAUCAUUUAAAGAAAGCGUAAUAGCUCACUGGUCGAGUCGGCCUGCGCGGAAGAUGUAACGGGGCUAAACCAUGCACCGAAGCUGCGGCAGCGACACUAUGUGUUGUUGGGUAGGGGAGCGUUCUGUAAGCCUGUGAAGGUGGCCUGUGAGGGUUGCUGGAGGUAUCAGAAGUGCGAAUGCUGACAUAAGUAACGAUAAAGCGGGUGAAAAGCCCGCUCGCCGGAAGACCAAGGGUUCCUGUCCAACGUUAAUCGGGGCAGGGUGAGUCGACCCCUAAGGCGAGGCCGAAAGGCGUAGUCGAUGGGAAACAGGUUAAUAUUCCUGUACUUGGUGUUACUGCGAAGGGGGGACGGAGAAGGCUAUGUUGGCCGGGCGACGGUUGUCCCGGUUUAAGCGUGUAGGCUGGUUUUCCAGGCAAAUCCGGAAAACCAAGGCUGAGGCGUGAUGACGAGGCACUACGGUGCUGAAGUGACAAAUGCCCUGCUUCCAGGAAAAGCCUCUAAGCAUCAGGUAACAUCAAAUCGUACCCCAAACCGACACAGGUGGUCAGGUAGAGAAUACCAAGGCGCUUGAGAGAACUCGGGUGAAGGAACUAGGCAAAAUGGUGCCGUAACUUCGGGAGAAGGCACGCUGAUAUGUAGGUGAAGCGACUUGCUCGUGGAGCUGAAAUCAGUCGAAGAUACCAGCUGGCUGCAACUGUUUAUUAAAAACACAGCACUGUGCAAACACGAAAGUGGACGUAUACGGUGUGACGCCUGCCCGGUGCCGGAAGGUUAAUUGAUGGGGUUAGCGGCAACGCGAAGCUCUUGAUCGAAGCCCCGGUAAACGGCGGCCGUAACUAUAACGGUCCUAAGGUAGCGAAAUUCCUUGUCGGGUAAGUUCCGACCUGCACGAAUGGCGUAAUGAUGGCCAGGCUGUCUCCACCCGAGACUCAGUGAAAUUGAACUCGCUGUGAAGAUGCAGUGUACCCGCGGCAAGACGGAAAGACCCCGUGAACCUUUACUAUAGCUUGACACUGAACAUUGAGCCUUGAUGUGUAGGAUAGGUGGGAGGCUUUGAAGUGUGGACGCCAGUCUGCAUGGAGCCGACCUUGAAAUACCACCCUUUAAUGUUUGAUGUUCUAACGUUGGCCCGUAAUCCGGGUUGCGGACAGUGUCUGGUGGGUAGUUUGACUGGGGCGGUCUCCUCCUAAAGAGUAACGGAGGAGCACGAAGGUUGGCUAAUCCUGGUCGGACAUCAGGAGGUUAGUGCAAUGGCAUAAGCCAGCUUGACUGCGAGCGUGACGGCGCGAGCAGGUGCGAAAGCAGGUCAUAGUGAUCCGGUGGUUCUGAAUGGAAGGGCCAUCGCUCAACGGAUAAAAGGUACUCCGGGGAUAACAGGCUGAUACCGCCCAAGAGUUCAUAUCGACGGCGGUGUUUGGCACCUCGAUGUCGGCUCAUCACAUCCUGGGGCUGAAGUAGGUCCCAAGGGUAUGGCUGUUCGCCAUUUAAAGUGGUACGCGAGCUGGGUUUAGAACGUCGUGAGACAGUUCGGUCCCUAUCUGCCGUGGGCGCUGGAGAACUGAGGGGGGCUGCUCCUAGUACGAGAGGACCGGAGUGGACGCAUCACUGGUGUUCGGGUUGUCAUGCCAAUGGCACUGCCCGGUAGCUAAAUGCGGAAGAGAUAAGUGCUGAAAGCAUCUAAGCACGAAACUUGCCCCGAGAUGAGUUCUCCCUGACUCCUUGAGGGUCCUGAAGGAACGUUGAAGACGACGACGUUGAUAGGCCGGGUGUGUAAGCGCAGCGAUGCGUUGAGCUAACCGGUACUAAUGAACCGUGAGGCUUAACCUU
Molecule: ribosomal RNA, 2902 nt
Filed under: Escherichia coli KOEGE 43 (105a)
Lineage: Bacteria; Pseudomonadati; Pseudomonadota; Gammaproteobacteria; Enterobacterales; Enterobacteriaceae
Description: bacterial LSU rRNA
Rfam family: Bacterial large subunit ribosomal RNA
Source: RNAcentral